GAUGAAGAACGUAGCGAAAUGCGAUAAGUAAUGUGAAUUGCAGAAUCCAGUGAAUCAUCGAAUCUUUGAACGCACAUUGCGCCCGCCAGCAUUCUGGCGGGCAUGCCUGUUCGAGCGUCAUUUCAACCCUCGACCUCCCUUUGGGGAAGUUGGCGUUGGGGACCGGCAGCACACCGCCGGCCCUGAAAUGGAGUGGCGGCCCGUCCGCGGCGACCUCUGCGUAGUAAUCCAACUCGCACCGGAACCCCGACGCGGCCACGCCGUAAAACACCCAACUUCUGAACGUUGACCUCGAAUCAGGUAGGACUACCCGCUGAACUUAAGCAUAUCAAUAAGCGGAGGA
Molecule: unclassified non-coding RNA, 343 nt
Filed under: soil metagenome
Description: partial contains 5.8S ribosomal RNA, internal transcribed spacer 2, and large subunit ribosomal RNA
Rfam family: 5.8S ribosomal RNA (bases 1-120)
Source: RNAcentral